GCCUUCGUGGUGUAGCGGUCAGCACUCUCGACGCUUAUUCGAGAGGUCUGUGGUUCGAGUCCCGGCGACAGCA
Non-coding RNA from Stegodyphus mimosarum, 73 nucleotides. NCBI's taxonomy places the organism in Eukaryota, Metazoa, Arthropoda, Arachnida, Araneae, Eresidae. The record is from Rfam.